This 2379-nucleotide long non-coding RNA is filed under the name Triticum aestivum (bread wheat). RNAcentral describes it as "long non-coding RNA (TAES_LNC017900)". Lineage: Eukaryota; Viridiplantae; Streptophyta; Magnoliopsida; Poales; Poaceae. The record is from RNAcentral.
AAUGUGGCAGAGCAGAGAGGGGAAUGAAAUCCCUAGCCGCACCUCAUUGCAAAUCGGGCCUGGCAUCUCUCUUCCUCUCCCUCACCCCUUCCUCUCCACCACCGGCCGCCGCCGCGGCCAGGCCGGCGUAGCGGUGCGCCACCCAGCCAUCCAUCCAUUCCAUCUCCACAACGCACCUCCAGCACCAUCUCCUUCUCCUCCCCGAAUCCAUCCAUCUAUCCAUCCACCACGCCAUCACAUCACCAGCACCCCUCACCACCAGCGCCAUUACUCCACUUCCUCUGCUUCCCUUCUUUUCUGAACCUCAACGCCUUCUGCUGCUGCUCCCUCUCUCAACGCCUCCUGCUGCUGCUCCUUUCUUCUUUCACCCCUCCCUGCUGCCCUUCUACUCUUCCUGCUGCUGCUCUUCUUGCGACCCUGCUGCUGCUCCUUCCUCCCUUACGUCGCUGCUGUUCUUCUCUUUCUCUCUGUACCUUGCUGAUGUCCCAUCUCUCCUAGCGCUGCUGCUGCACUUCUUCUGAAGCCCUCUCCUCACACCCGCUGCUGCUUCUUUUCUCCCCACGCCUCUUGCUGCUGCUCCUAGUAUUUCUGAACCACAAAUCUGCUGUUCUUCUCCACCAAACCAAACCUGUUGUUGUUCUCUUUGUGUGUGUGUGUGUGUGUGUGUGUGUGUGUGUGUGUUUGUGUGAUUCAUAAAGAAAUAUUGUUGUGUGAAGAUGAUAUUUGUUCAGUCCGAAGACAUGUGUUGUUCUUACUUACUUUGUUGAUCAGUAGAGUCUGUACUGUUGCAUUGUGACACUCAUUUCUAUGUAUGAGAACUAGUUAAAUAUAUUAAUAAUGUACUGCACUUGCUAAUUAGUGUCCAGUUUACUGUAGACUGUUGCUCAAGUACUUGUGAUAUAUGAAUAUGUGCGUGUGAAUGUGAUGUGAAACAUUUCUAUUCUAUCCUAUAAUUUUGUUUCUUCCCUCUUUUGCAUGUCAAUAGUUAAAAGUGUUCAUGUCCUGUUGAUUCCCUUUCGUCAUUGAUGUUUGUCUGUGUUAGUGUUUUAAUUUCUCAAGCCUAAUAAAAAUACCAAAAAGAUAGUGAGUAUGUUCUGUAUCUUCCUUUGCUGUUUGUAUUUUCUUUUUUGACAAUCUUCGGGAACAACCUUGUUUAGUUUAGGUUUAUUUUCUUGCAUUCGUAAUCAGAAUUGUGUUACCUAGAUUUAGCCGAGCAUAGUUGCCGUCGCCUAGUCCUUGUGGGGAGCACGACACUCGCGAUUUGGGUGAAAUAUCCCACUGCCACUACAAUCGAUCAACAGAUAAACAAGGCAUUUGCUCGAUAACUGAAAAAAUGCUCACUCCAACCAACCUAACAACCAAAUACAGAUAAACAAGGCAUCUACUCACUAUAAACAACCAAAUAUAGCCAUCCGUGAAACUGAAGUGGACAAUUCAUACUUAAACAUCACAUAGACCUAUUGAACAAUACAUUUUUGCAUAACUGGAAUAAUUAAACACGGCACAGUUAAAGCAUCGCACGGCAAAUGCUACUACAACAAAGGGUACGGGUUGGCAAGCUAGAAAAGGUAAUAUUUGCUGAUAGAAUUUUGCCUCACAUUUCAUGGAUGGGAUCCUUCCAGUUGGAAGAGCACAGACCCAUGGUGCGCUCUCUAAUGUCAUCGAUGGGCUGUUUCACCUUGGAAGAACCUUUGUGGGUGCCCUCCUCGUGGUCGUGGUCGAUGAGAUCUGACUUGGCAAUUGAGGAUCCCAAGCCGCUGUCGUAGAACGUGUCCUUCAGAAGUGACAAAAUGAGCUCGAUGGCGUAUAAAGCUCGUAAAUCCUUGACCACUUGGCGGAGGAGAUCAGCGGCAGGGCCGUCGAAGAGAUUGACGGCGGUUGAACCAGAGGGGUUGGGGAUGGACCACUUAACCUGUGACAUGGCCCACGUGAAGCCGUCAGUGUGGACGAGCUUGAUGUCGUAGCCAGCUUUCCCGAGAUACAGUAAUACGCUAGCCCGCUGACAUGAAGCCUUCGGCAUGGCAACGUAGUCAAUGUCUUUGCCGGCUUCCGCGGCGACGUGUUGCUCCGGGAUCGACAGGUCGGGGAGAAGCGGCCACCUCGCCAACGUCCGUCAGAGAGGCCAUGAUAAACCUCUUCUUGGCCGAACGCUCGUCGGGCUCCCCGGGAUACGUGGUCGAGAUUAGGCUGCGACAUUCUGGAGCAGGGGAUGUGGAUCUGGCGGGGAGGGACAUUGCAAGCCUCAUCUAAAAACUCAGAGGAGUGGGGCGACGGUAUGGGAAUCGCUGGAUAACCUGAACUUUAUUAUCUAAGCUAGGAGGAACGGGCAGACCGGCAGGGUUGGCGGCGGCGCCGGCGGCGGCCGCGAGCUAGAGUUUG